RNAcentral lists this ribosomal RNA (407 nucleotides) under uncultured bacterium. RNAcentral's name for it is "bacterial SSU rRNA". It matches the Rfam family "Bacterial small subunit ribosomal RNA", at positions 355 to 774 of the family's 1533-position model. The record is from RNAcentral.
UGGGGAAUAUUGCACAAUGGGCGCAAGCCUGAUGCAGCGACGCCGCGUGAGGGAUGACGGCCUUCGGGUUGUAAACCUCUUUCGCUAGGGACGAAGCGUAAGUGACGGUACCUGGAGAAGAAGCACCGGCCAACUACGUGCCAGCAGCCGCGGUAAUACGUAGGGUGCGAGCGUUGUCCGGAAUUACUGGGCGUAAAGAGCUCGUAGGCGGUUUGUCGCGUCGUCUGUGAAAUUCUGCAACUCAAUUGCAGGCGCGCAGGCGAUACGGGCAGACUUGAGUACUACAGGGNGGACUGGAAUUCCUGGUGUAGCGGUGAAAUGCGCAGAUAUCAGGAGGAACACCGGUGGCGAAGGCGGGUCUCUGGGUAGUAACUGACGCUGAGGAGCGAAAGCGUGGGGAGCGAACA